AUAGUCUACCAUACCACUUGAAUGUGCUAGAUCUUGUCUGCUCUUAGAAGCUAAGCAGGGCUGGGUCUGGUUAAUACUUGGAUGGGAAAAAUUAUUAGUACAGCAUAAGUGGCAUAAA
Molecule: ribosomal RNA, 118 nt
Filed under: Jaculus jaculus (lesser Egyptian jerboa)
Lineage: Eukaryota; Metazoa; Chordata; Mammalia; Rodentia; Dipodidae
Source: RNAcentral